Molecule: long non-coding RNA, 305 nt
Organism: Dermacentor silvarum
Lineage: Eukaryota; Metazoa; Arthropoda; Arachnida; Ixodida; Ixodidae
Exons: 3
Source: RefSeq, a predicted model, not a curated record
GGUGCACCUGGAAAAACGAAAAAUCGUCGGAUGAAGACCUAGCGUGGCUGCUAGGAAGCCUAAGUCUCGAAACAACGCUUCUAAGGCCGAGUCAAGAUCACACCCUCGGAAGCGCGAAAGGAUCGUAUCUGUUGCUGAGCAACUUCGAGAGGAACACCGGAGAUAGAGCUGAUCUUAUUGGUGAGGUACUUCCCUCAGGCAGUGGCAUAACGCAGUGCGUCGAGUUUUGGUACGACAUCUCUGCAGACAAAGAGACAAGUCUCACGUUGCUAGCAACCAAUAUCGCCGGGAAAGCACGCAAAGAG